RNAcentral lists this non-coding RNA (30 nucleotides) under Rattus norvegicus (Norway rat). The record is from RNAcentral. Lineage: Eukaryota; Metazoa; Chordata; Mammalia; Rodentia; Muridae.
UACUUGUGCAAAACAGAAAGAAGUUGAGGU